This 253-nucleotide ribosomal RNA is filed under the name uncultured bacterium. RNAcentral's name for it is "partial 16S ribosomal RNA". It matches the Rfam family "Bacterial small subunit ribosomal RNA", at positions 524 to 776 of the family's 1533-position model. The record is from RNAcentral.
UACGUAGGGUGCGAGCGUUGUCCGGAAUUACUGGGCGUAAAGAGCUCGUAGGUGGUUUGUCGCGUUGUUCGUGAAAACUCACAACUCAAUUGUGGGCGUGCGGGCGAUACGGGCAGACUGGAGUACUGCAGGGGAGACUGGAAUUCCUGGUGUAGCGGUGGAAUGCGCAGAUAUCAGGAGGAACACCGGUGGCGAAGGCGGGUCUCUGGGCAGUAACUGACGCUGAGGCACGAAGGCCAGGGGAGCAAACGGG